Molecule: ribosomal RNA, 1446 nt
Filed under: uncultured bacterium
Lineage: Bacteria
Description: bacterial SSU rRNA
Rfam family: Bacterial small subunit ribosomal RNA
Source: RNAcentral
AGAGUUUGAUCAUGGCUCAGAACGUACGCUGGCGGCACGCCUUAUACAUGCAAGUCGAACGAAGUAGCAAUACUUAGUGGCAGACGGGUGAGUAACAUGUGGGUAUCUUCCCUUUGGCCUGGAAUAACACGAGGAAACUUGUGCUAAUACCGGAUAAGUCUUUACGGAGAAAGCUUUAUGCACCAUUGGAUGAGCCUGCACUUGAUUAGUUUGUUGGUGGGGUAAUGGCCUACCAAGACAAUGAUCAAUAGCUGAUUUGAGAGGAUGAUCAGCCACAUUGGAACUGAGACACGGUCCAAACUUCUACGGAAGGCAGCAGUAGGGAAUCUUGCACAAUGGAGGAAACUCUGAUGCAGCGAUGCCGCGUGAGUGAAGAAGGCCUUUGGGUUGUAAAGCUCUUUCGUCGGGGAAGAAAAUGACUGUACCCGAAUAAGAAGGUCCGGCUAACUUCGUGCCAGCAGCCGCGGUAAUACGAAGGGACCUAGCGUAGUUCGGAAUUACUGGGCUUAAAGAGUUCGUAGGUGGUUAAAAAAGUUGGUGGUGAAAUCCCAGAGCUUAACUCUGGAACUGCCAUCAAAACUUUUUAGCUAGAGUAUGAUAGAGGAAAGCAGAAUUUCUAGUGUAGAGGUGAAAUUCGUAGAUAUUAGAAAGAAUACCGAUUGCGAAGGCAGCUUUCUGGAUCAUUACUGACACUGAGGAACGAAAGCAUGGGUAGCGAAGAGGAUUAGAUACCCUCGUAGUCCAUGCCGUAAACGAUGUGUGUUAGACGUUGGAAAUUUAUUUUCAGUGUCGCAGCGAAAGCAAUAAACACACCGCCUGGGGAGUACGACCGCAAGGUUAAAACUCAAAUGAAUUGACGGGGACCCGCACAAGUAGUGGAGCAUGUGGUUUAAUUCGAAGAUACGCGCAGAACCUUACCAACACUUGACAUGUUCGUCGCGACUCUAAGAGAUUAGAGUUUUCGGUUCGGCCGGACGAAACACAGGUGCUGCAUGGCUGUCGUCAGCUCGUGUCGUGAGAUGUUGGGUUAAGUCCCGCAACGAGCGCAACCCUUACUUUUAGUUGCCAUCAUUUAGUUGGGCACUCUGAAAGAACUGCCAGUGAUAAGCUGGAGGAAGGUGGGGAUGACGUCAAGUCCUCAUGGCCCUUAUGUGUUGGGCUACACACGUGCUACAAUGGUAUCUACAACAGGAAGCAAAAUGGCAACAUUAAGCAAAUCCCAAAAAGAUACCUCAGUUCGGAUUGCACUCUGCAACUCGAGUGCAUGAAGCUGGAAUUACUAGUAAUCGUGGAUCAGCGUGCCACGGUGAAUACGUUCCCGGGUCUUGUACACACCGCCCGUCACACCAUGGGAGUUGGUUCUACCUUAAGGCAAAAUGUUAACCUUCGGGAAGCAUUUGACCACGGUAUAGUCAGCGACUGGGGUGAAGUCGUAACAAGGUAGCC